GCGCAGAAAGAAGGAACUUUGGCCUAGCAGAAUCACAACCAGAAAUAGAUGAGGCGUAUGAAGAAAUGAUAGCAGAACUUGCUCAGGAAGCAGCUUCACCCGGAAGUGGUGAUGAACAAGCUUCAUUUCCACCACCUCCAACACAACCACCUCCCAACCUUAAAGAUUUUAUGAGAUUUGUUAGAAAUAAUGCAUAAAUUAUGAUGUAACUUGUACAUU
RNAcentral lists this long non-coding RNA (219 nucleotides) under Nicotiana benthamiana. RNAcentral's name for it is "long non-coding RNA (NBEN_LNC037027)". Lineage: Eukaryota; Viridiplantae; Streptophyta; Magnoliopsida; Solanales; Solanaceae. The record is from RNAcentral.